This 468-nucleotide ribosomal RNA is filed under the name uncultured bacterium. RNAcentral describes it as "partial 16S ribosomal RNA". It matches the Rfam family "Bacterial small subunit ribosomal RNA", at positions 28 to 507 of the family's 1533-position model. The record is from RNAcentral.
GACGAACGCUGGCGGCGGGCUUAACACAUGCAAGUCGAACGGAAAGGCCCUGCUUUUGUGGGGUGCUCGAGUGGCGAACGGGUGAGAAACACGUGAGUAACCUGCCCUUGACUUUGGGAUAACUUCAGGAAACUGGGGCUAAUACCGGAUAGGAGCUCCUGCUGCAUGGUGGGGGUUGGAAAGUUUCGGCGGUUGGGGAUGGACUCGCGGCUUAUCAGCUUGUGGGUGGGGUAGUGCCUUACCAAGGCUUUGACGGGUAGCCGGCCUGAGAGGGUGAGCGGCGACCCUGGGACUGCGGUACGGCCGCGACUCCUACGGGGGGCAGCAGUGGGGAAUCUUGCACAAUGCGCGGAAGCUUGAUGCAGCAACGCCGCGAGCGGGAUGGCGCUCUUCGGGUUGUAAACCGCUUUUGACUGUGACGAAGCGUGAGUGACGGUAAUGGAUAAAAUAGGACCGGCUAACUACGUG